UUCAGUUUAUUCCGUGCUUCAUCCAGAAAGACACUAAAUUGUAUACAAGACUUACAUCUGUACUGCUGCUAACCACAAGGAGCCGUGAUGGGGUCUUGGAUGGUCAGCACAAGCUUCUUGUCUAUGCUCACCGUCAGUGUGAACUGAGGUCUUCCUAUUAAAGCUACAAGAAAAGAACAGUAUUAAUGGACUUAAUACAUGACUUGAGGUACUACUCUAGUAUGCGAACUGAGAACGCGAGGUCGGA
Non-coding RNA from Danio rerio (zebrafish), 247 nucleotides. The record is from Ensembl. Lineage: Eukaryota; Metazoa; Chordata; Actinopteri; Cypriniformes; Danionidae.